UCAACUGUGUUUGCAUUGAUGUCAUGA
This 27-nucleotide small RNA is filed under the name Bombyx mori (domestic silkworm). RNAcentral describes it as "ovarian small RNA-24658". Lineage: Eukaryota; Metazoa; Arthropoda; Insecta; Lepidoptera; Bombycidae. The record is from RNAcentral.